UUGUUCUUUUCAAAAGCUACAUAGUAUUUUAUUAUUGUGCCAUAAGUUAUCCAGGCUCUACUGAUCUAUAUUCAGCUUGUUCAUUAGGAUUCUCUUUGUUGAAAUUGGAAGAAUCCCAACUCAAACUAGUCUUAGCUAAAGAGGGAGUUCAUUGUCCCAUUUAGUCAUAUUUGCGGAAGAGCAGGCUGAUGUUAGCCUCAGAGGGUGCCUGCAACCAGAGACCUUAGCGCACUAGAAAUUGCCAUCUCUCCGUGUCUCAUCUCUUUAUUUUAGCAUAAACAGCUUCAUUCAUAGACUAGCUUCACCUCCUGUGUGAGAGACAAAAUUGGAAGUUCCAGAUUCUAUCCUAGCAACUUUCUGACCUAACAGGAAGUAAUUCUUUUCUAUCAGUUCCAAGUGAAAAUAAUCCUGGAGUCACAGCCCCAACAAUCUUACUACCUGAAAAGAAAAUGACUCUUUCCUGGAUGAAGACCCUGACUGGUUCAUGUUAGAUUAUGCAUCCACCCUUCUGAAGAAUUAAGUACUAUUGCUUCUGCCUUCCAUUAUCCUUUUCCACUUCACUCCCAACUUCUGGCUGAAUGGAGCUGCUGCCUUCUUACAUGAUCCAGUAUCCCUGAAUCUGGAGGUAGAAGGGUGGUGAGAUUGAGAGGCUGUGCUUCUGGAAGCUGCUGGAAACCGUGACCCCUCACUAUGGAGAAAGACUGUAGUAGGAGAGCAUGAUGCCAACAUGCCCAAGGAAACAUGUCCCGUCUUGCCAUGGGUCAGGCUCAGUUGGUCAGCUUUUCCUUUGAUUCUGUGAGCUGGCUCACUAUCCAUUCAAUAUUCCACCCAACACACUUUUUUUUUUCUUUUUGCUUAUAGCAGUUUGAAUUGGGUUGUUAUCACAUAAACUCCUCAACUAAUAAAAUUAAAAAAAAUUUUUUAAUGUUUAUUUAUUUUUGAGAGAAAGAGACAGAGUGUGAGCCAGGGAGGGGCAGAGGGAGAGGGAGACA
Molecule: long non-coding RNA, 992 nt
Organism: Acinonyx jubatus (cheetah)
Lineage: Eukaryota; Metazoa; Chordata; Mammalia; Carnivora; Felidae
Exons: 3
Source: RefSeq, a predicted model, not a curated record